GUGCCUGGCCUAGCAUAUAUAUUAAAAUUGGAUGAUACAAAGAAGAUUAGCAUGCCUCCUGUGAAAGGAUGACAUGCUGACAUGGAAAUUCGUGCUCCAUAUUUUU
Gorilla gorilla gorilla (western lowland gorilla) is the source of this 106-nucleotide small nuclear RNA. The record is from Ensembl. Lineage: Eukaryota; Metazoa; Chordata; Mammalia; Primates; Hominidae.